UGGACCAAUGAUGACAACUGGUGUGAGUCAUGCAUAAUGAAUACCAUGUAUCUGGAACUCUGAGGUCCAA
Small nucleolar RNA from Cercocebus atys (sooty mangabey), 70 nucleotides. Ensembl annotates it as small nucleolar RNA, C/D box 114-16. Its record names the gene SNORD114-16. The record is from Ensembl. NCBI's taxonomy places the organism in Eukaryota, Metazoa, Chordata, Mammalia, Primates, Cercopithecidae.